Molecule: long non-coding RNA, 672 nt
Organism: Humulus lupulus (European hop)
Lineage: Eukaryota; Viridiplantae; Streptophyta; Magnoliopsida; Rosales; Cannabaceae
Exons: 2
Source: RefSeq, a predicted model, not a curated record
AAUUUACAAUCUCUCUCUAAUAUGAUAUCUAUAAGUUUUUAUUAUCAAUAAGAUUAUUUAGAAUACUAUAAUGACCAGUAAAUGCAUUAUCUUGCACAUUUCUUCAAGUUUAUGAUCUCAUGUCUACUUAAAAUACAGGUUUAAAAAGAUUGGUACUGGUUCUCAGAAUUCUGAAAUUGUUGUCCCAAAGGAAGAAACCUCAGAGAGAGACUUACGCCCACUGCUGUUUAAAUUUAAUGAGGGUUUCACAAAUGCAGUAAAGAGGCCAGUUCGCAUGCGUGAGUUUCUGCUAUGAUGAAUCUUGGUUUCAGUAAGCAAAGGCGGCAGGAAUCUUAGCCACAUUUUCUUGCAAAUUCAACAGCUACCCUUCUCUAAAUCUAUACAUAAUUGUACCCAUAUGUAUGUAUUUAUACUCAAAACUUUUAUGUAUCAAUAGCCAUAAAAAGUCUGAAGCCUUUCUAAUAUGCAAUAACCGCACCAGGUUUCAGUUGCAGCCUGAUUUAGUUGGGAAGAACUAAUGAGAUGGACGGGCAGCAAAGGAGAGUAAUUUCUGUAAAAUGGUAAAGUUGUUUUGCUUGCCUGCCUGCUAAUCAAUAUCAAAAUUUUGUGAGAAGUUCUUAGAAGCACCUAAUUUUUUCAUUAAUACAUAAUUCAAUUUUAAACUUUCUGACA